RNAcentral lists this ribosomal RNA (250 nucleotides) under uncultured bacterium. RNAcentral's name for it is "partial 16S ribosomal RNA". It matches the Rfam family "Bacterial small subunit ribosomal RNA", at positions 15 to 266 of the family's 1533-position model. The record is from RNAcentral.
AAUCAUGGCUCAGGAUGAACGCUGGCGGCGUGCUUAACACAUGCAAGUCGAACGAUGAACCUCACUUGUGGGGGGAUUAGUGGCGAACGGGUGAGUAACACGUGAGUAACCUGCCCUUGACUCUGGGAUAAGCCUGGGAAACCGGGUCUAAUACUGGAUACGACCUUCUGGCGCAUGCCAUGUUGGUGGAAAGCUUUUGUGGUUUUGGAUGGACUCGCGGCCUAUCAGCUUGUUGGUGGGGUAAUGGCCU